RNAcentral lists this long non-coding RNA (2431 nucleotides) under Nicotiana tabacum (common tobacco). RNAcentral's name for it is "long non-coding RNA (NTAB_LNC006832)". Lineage: Eukaryota; Viridiplantae; Streptophyta; Magnoliopsida; Solanales; Solanaceae. The record is from RNAcentral.
UCUAGGAUGUACAUCAGAUGAUUGUUGCUCGUAUGCUACAAGAUUUCUUAGGAUCGUUUCUGUAUAGUCAAAGACUUCGAAACAAGGAAUUGUCAUCACUCCAUUCUCAAAUUUAAUAUCAAAUAAGCUUGUGUUAUCUCCAAGGUUGUGAUAUCCCUCCAAUCUUCUAUAAAUUUUUCCAAUUUUCGAAAAUGUAACUCCUGCUUCGCGAAGCUCUGUUGCAUUCGGCAUGUUAGUAUCCCAUGUUUGGUGGUCCUUAUCAUUUGGCAUAUUUUUCAAUCUAACCAUUUGUAAAGGAUUCCAACAUAAGCUUUUCCGGCAAUAUUCCAUUUCCAAACUAGGGUUUUCAGGAGUAAGGCUAGUUUUCUUCUCCAAAAGGUGACAUGACAUGUGUACUAGUUGAAGUAAAUGUUUGAUGUUUUUGGCAUCACCUUCAGUUUUAAGAAAUGAUGUAGGGCUCAUCUUCAAGAAGGAAGAAUUAAAGGUCUCUUUUACCAAUUUUAUGAAUGGUACUAUUAGAUCAAGUCGCGAAGGGGGUUCACCCCCCUCCCACCCCCCAAAUCCGCCAUUGAUUUGAUCCAUAGUCAUAUUGUGAAGCUUAGUGAGGACAAAGAAAGGAAGUUGGUUUUCUAGUAAUAACAAAUCUCGUCGUACUUGACCAUCUAUACAACUGUAGGGGAUAAUAAUAUCUUCUUCUGUUGGCUUCCUUCCACAACGCUCUCGAAUAAACUCAACUACAAAACAACCAUCAACCAACAACAUUUUCAAAAAUUGACCCGUAUUGUUGUCACUAUAAAUAUCUUCUAUACCAUCAUAACACUUUAGUGCCUCAUCUUUUAAUUUUCCCAAUUCAGUAAUGCAAGUUUUCACAUCAAGCCCAUCUUUCCUUCUGAGAAACCGUUGUAAGUAACGCAAUUUAUAAUUCUCCAUUAAGCGUAGUUGUAAAUUCUUCUUAUGGUAAGGACCAAUAGAGACCAACAUUGGCUUAUAAGCAUCUGGAUUUGAUUCACUUAGCCCCACACUUACUCUGAAUAUGGUACAAGAUUUGGUAGAUAAAUGGUACAAAUCUAAAUAUAUUUCAUCAAGAAUUUGAUUUGUCUCGAUUAACUCCACAUUCCUCCCUUCUUCUAUCUGUAAUUAAUGGAAAAGAGUCGUAGGAGUUUCAAGUUGAAUUACAAAAGUUUGAGGCUAAAAUUGCAUGAAAAGGAAGUAUAAGCGGAUGCGAAUCUAGAAUUUCUAGUAUUUGAGUGCACUACUAAACAAGAGUCAUAGGAGUAUCAAGCUAAAUUACAAAAGUUUGAGGCUACAACCGCGUGAAAAGGAUAUUUAUUAAGUAGGAACUAAUCCUUAUUUCUCUUGAUAAAGAAUUCAAUCUUCAACCAAGUGCACCAUUCAGCAUUCUUAAACCAUGUGUGCCAACAGUUAUUAUUAUACUAAUUUUAGUUAUUAUUUUACGGAGAGAUCAUGAGUUCACGUGCCCAUAAUCUCUCCUAUAAAUCUGACCCUCAGUAGAUAAGCAAAACUUCUUUAUAAGACAAAGUAUAAUGUAUAUAGGUCGGUUUGGUUAAGUUUAUUUCAUUUGUCAUACCAAAAGUAUUAUGUCCGUUUGCUAAAUCUAUAAACCAAAUAAAAAAUCAAAUUCCUAAACAAUUCCUAAAAUCAACUUCUACGAAGACACAAUCAGAGAAAAGAAAUGACUUUCAUUUUAUUAUAGUUCUCACGCCAUUAAUGCACAAGCAUUGAUGCAGUAAAUUGCAUGUAUGGAGUUGUGAGGAAACUCUACAAUGGAGACAUUCAAAUUACUUAACACUACCUGUGAAAGCUAGAACAGUCUGUAUGGCUGUGAGUAUAAGGAGUAUGACGGCUCCCACAGUUGAAGCUCCAGCCCAAGGACUGUUAAAAUAAUUGUGCCUCAAACUUGCCUUCAUUCGGUUCCAUGGUUUUUUACAAUGUUGAACUAACAUGAAGUAUUCUUCUUUGUAAUAGAAGUCAUAAGAAAUGGCAACCCCUUUCCCAAUUUUGUUAAAAAGGCUAGCCACUCUUUUGUCCUCUCCUAUCUCGUUCUUGAUAAUUCCUUUCUGGCGAAGCAAACUCACAUCUUUGUUCGAGUCGAUAAGAUAAUCCAUAAAAAUGGAAAAAUCACUGAAAUACAUCAGAUGAUUGUUGCUCGUAUGCUACAAGAUUUCUUAGGAUCGUUUCUGUAUAGUCAAAGACUUCGAAACAAGGAAUUGUCAUCACUCCAUUCUCAAAUUUAAUAUCAAAUAAGCUUGUGUUAUCUCCAAGGUUGUGAUAUCCCUCCAAUCUUCUAUAAAUUUUUCCAAUUUUCGAAAAUGUAACUCCUGCUUCGCGAAGCUCUGUUGCAUUCGGCAUGUUAGUAUCCCAUGUUUGGUGGUCCUUAUCAUUUGGCAUAUUUUUCAAUCUAACCAUUUGU